UCCCGUUUAGCUCAGUGGUAGAGCGCGUCACUAGUAUCAGCACCGUUUCACAGUUCUGGGCCUAUGACGAGGUCAGUCGUUCAAGUCGGCUAAUGGGAA
Molecule: non-coding RNA, 99 nt
Organism: Cerioporus squamosus
Lineage: Eukaryota; Fungi; Basidiomycota; Agaricomycetes; Polyporales; Polyporaceae
Source: the annotation of a GenBank genome assembly